Molecule: small nuclear RNA, 107 nt
Filed under: Marmota marmota marmota (Alpine marmot)
Lineage: Eukaryota; Metazoa; Chordata; Mammalia; Rodentia; Sciuridae
Source: RNAcentral
GUGCUCACUUCGGCAGCACAUAUGCUAAAAUUGGAAUGAUACAGAGAAGAUUAGUAUGGCCCCUGCGCAAGGAUGACAUGCAAAUUCAUGAAGCAUUCCAUAUUUUU